Rhagoletis zephyria (snowberry fruit fly) is the source of this 100-nucleotide long non-coding RNA. RefSeq lists it as uncharacterized. NCBI's taxonomy places the organism in Eukaryota, Metazoa, Arthropoda, Insecta, Diptera, Tephritidae. The record is from RefSeq and is a predicted model, not a curated record.
ACGCCAAAAAUUUACUGCAUAUUUUAUCGUAUGUUACAAUGCAUUUUUUUUCUUGUGGGCGAAAUUAUCGUAUGUGCCAUAUACAAGAAGUUAAGAAGAA